Molecule: ribosomal RNA, 684 nt
Filed under: Triticum aestivum (bread wheat)
Lineage: Eukaryota; Viridiplantae; Streptophyta; Magnoliopsida; Poales; Poaceae
Description: partial small subunit ribosomal RNA
Source: RNAcentral
AUCAACUGGAAUCAACACUAAUUGUCAGGUAUGAACAAAAUGUCGAAGCUUACUGAUUUCUAUAGACAAAGGGCUAAGAAGAAUUUUGCAACAAAAGGGGACAGGAACACAAUUUUUUUUCAUCAUGCGGUUCUUAAAAGAAGAAAGAAGAACACUAUAGUUUCAAUAAAAGAUGAGAAUGAUAACAUUCACUUCAAUCCUCAGGCCAUUGCAAAUACUUUUGUUAGCUACUUCAGGAAUGUGGGCAGACCUUUUCUAGCAUCCAGGCUCCUUUCUAACAGCCAUGACUACACGUAUAGCAUACCAGAUAAGGAGGAGAUCCUUAAUACUCUCAAGGAUAUGAAGAUAAAUGCCUCUCCUGGACCCGAUGGAUUCAAUGUAGAAUUCUAUAUUGCCACUUGGAGCUGGAUUGGUGAUGAUGUUACGACUAUGGUAAGGAACUUUUACCAAACAAGUAUAAUGCCUUUGCACAUUAGCGAUACUCACAUUGCUCUUAUUCCUAAGAAGUUAGUUCCUCGAAUUCCUUCAGAUUAUCGUCCUAUAAGUCUUUGUAAUGUCAUUUACAAGAUCAUUUCCAAAACCUUGGCCAAUAGACUCAAACUUCAUCUCCCUGAUUAUAUUGAUCAUUCUCAACAAGCUUUCAUUGAGGGUAGACGCAUAUCUAACAAUAUCAUCUUGGCUUAG